UGAGGAAUAUUGGACAAUGGAGGCAACUCUGAUCCAGCCAUGCCGCGUGCAGGAAGAAUGCCCUAUGGGUUGUAAACUGCUUUUAUUUAGGAAGAAACCCCCCAACGUGUUGGGGGCUGACGGUACUAAACGAAUAAGGACCGGCUAACUCCGUGCCAGCAGCCGCGGUAAUACGGAGGGUCCAAGCGUUAUCCGGAAUCAUUGGGUUUAAAGGGUCCGCAGGCGGGCUAUUAAGUCAGUGGUGAAAUCUCUUGGCUUAACCAAGAAAUUGCCAUUGAAACUACUAGUCUUGAAUUCGGUCGAAGUGGGCGGAAUGUGUCAUGUAGCGGUGAAAUGCAUAGAUAUGACACAGAACACCGAUAGCGAAGGCAGCUCACUAGGCCUGAAUUGACGCUCAGGGACGAAAGCGUGGGGAGCGAACAGG
This 424-nucleotide ribosomal RNA is filed under the name uncultured prokaryote. RNAcentral's name for it is "bacterial SSU rRNA". It matches the Rfam family "Bacterial small subunit ribosomal RNA", at positions 355 to 776 of the family's 1533-position model. The record is from RNAcentral. RNAcentral also lists the same sequence under 1 other name.